CUUAGUGGCGAACGGGUGAGUAACACGUUGGUACCUACCCUCUAGUGGGGAAUAACUGCCCGAAAGGGUGGCUAAUACCGCAUAAUACCGCAAGGUUAAAGCAGUAAUGCGCUAGAGGAGGGGCCUGCGUCUGAUUAGCUAGUUGGUGAGGUAAUAGCUCACCAAGGCUACGAUCAGUAGCUGGAUCGAGAGGUUGACCAGCCACACUGGGACUGAGAUACGGCCCAG
RNAcentral lists this ribosomal RNA (228 nucleotides) under uncultured bacterium. RNAcentral's name for it is "partial 16S ribosomal RNA". It matches the Rfam family "Bacterial small subunit ribosomal RNA", at positions 91 to 334 of the family's 1533-position model. The record is from RNAcentral.